AGUGAACGCUGGCGGUAGGCCUAACACAUGCAAGUCGAACGGCAGCACAGUAAGAGCUUGCUCUUACGGGUGGCGAGUGGCGGACGGGUGAGGAAUACAUCGGAAUCUACUUUUUCGUGGGGGAUAACGUAGGGAAACUUACGCUAAUACCGCAUACGACCUACGGGUGAAAGCAGGGGAUCUUCGGACCUUGCGCGAUUGAAUGAGCCGAUGUCGGAUUAGCUAGUUGGCGGGGUAAAGGCCCACCAAGGCGACGAUCCGUAGCUGGUCUGAGAGGAUGAUCAGCCACACUGGAACUGAGACACGGUCAAGACUCCUACGGGAGGCAGCAGUGGGGAAUAUUGGACAAUGGGCGCAAGCCUGAUCCAGCCAUACCGCGUGGGUGAAGAAGGCCUUCGGGUUGUAAAGCCCUUUUGUUGGGAAAGAAAAGCAGCAGGUUAAUACCCCGAUGUUCUGACGGUACCCAAAGAAUAAGCACCGGCUAACUUCGUG
Molecule: ribosomal RNA, 492 nt
Filed under: uncultured bacterium
Lineage: Bacteria
Description: partial 16S ribosomal RNA
Rfam family: Bacterial small subunit ribosomal RNA
Source: RNAcentral